GUGUGUGUGUGUGUGUGUUGAUAAUAGCUUGGCUAUAAAUAUACAUCACUUAUAGGUUACAAUAUACAUCACAAGUCAGGUUAAUGUGUUGCUCAAGUUCUGCUAUCAUUGCUCUCUCAAUCUCACCAAUGCAGGCAAAUGAGCCACCGUUCGCAAAAAAUUGCUCACUUCACAAUCAAUCUGCAACCCUGUCUUUCUUAAUAGCCUGAAGCUAGGUAUAGCCAAAUUAAUUCAAGGUCUUAAGAAAACUGACUUGUCAUUAUUGUGAUGUCAUAAAUAACUAGUUAAUUUCGGCCGGUCAGCAUAAAACCCAAGUUGGUUAUGUUUAACCCCAGGUAAUCUUGUAAUGUCUUGGCCGUUUCACCAAGACAUGCACAAUGUUCAAACCAACUCAUUUGUUUUGUGGUAUUUUAAGUUCUCCCAUACUUUGGAAGACAGGUCUUUGGAAAAGUUGACACUGAAGAUCGCCUUAACUGUCAUUCACAGACCAUGAGUGACUUUUUGUGUUGUUAAAGUGACCCAUUAUGUAAAGUGAAAUUUUUUAUUUGUAUUUAUCGUCGUAAUAUGUCUUUGUAACAAUGUGCAAUGCUACACAACACCUGGGUGGCUUUUACUGGGCUCAUCUAGACAAAGACGCUGGGUGGUGGUGUUGGAAGCUGGGUUAUUUUAAGGUUUGCAGAUCAUUACCCGUGGCUGGUUUAACCCGUGCACAUUGAUUGCUCAAUGUACUACAGUUGUGAUGGCUCACCCAGCCCCAGAGUCCAAUCAGAAUCAGGCAAGGAGUGGCUGCUUAAACCAGUCAUCAUCCACACACACUCCAGUCUUAUUUUUUAUCUUCAACAUGGUAAUCUAUGCCAGUUUAUCACUGUUACUGAAAUAAGAUUAAGUUAAACAAGAGUAUUCACAAUCCAUGGUGCUAUAAAGAUUCUGGUUCAUGUUUUGCAAGUCACAGUAUAACACACAAAUUUUGUCUAAGAUAUACGUGAUUGACAGGCUAGAUGGAUUCACCGGAACAAUCAGAAGGGAUGCCCUGAUAAGCCUGAAAUUGGAGCAGUAUGAAACGUCAUUGUCUUAUAAAGCACAUGAAUAAGAAACUAAAGUCUCUAACGCGGGUUGGUUGUGUUAACUAUAUUCAUGCUCAGUGAUAUGUGGUCUUAUCUGGGAACGAAUGGGACAAUCCGCGGUCCAAGUCUAUCGGUUUUAUCUGAAAACUGAAGCCGAGUGGUUGGUGUGAGAGUGGGGCAUAAAGAGAGGCAACAGCCGGCCCAGUCCCAGCAGUUAACCUGCUAGACCCCCGGUGAGUUGGGAUUGCUGAGUCGGUCUCCGUUCAGGAUAGCUUUAUUGCCGUAUCUGUGUGCUUUAAGGACAUGACCAUACACAAAUCAAUACCAGCAGGGAUUGCCUCACUUGCGCUGGUGAAAAUGAUUCUCUUGCGGUAUACCGUACUACAGUUGUCCUGGAAGCCUAACCCUUAUUGAAGAAAGUGGGAUUUACGAUUUGGCAGAGAAAACCACUUUGGAUGCGGGUGUAAGCCAUAUGACUAACUGAUAGAUGUGCACUGUAGCAGAACUGUCUCUAUAGAGGCAGAGGGUGCAGAUAUUUUAUCAUUCAUGAUCUGAAAUCUUCAUAUCGCACACCCCUAGUGAAAACAAGAUAAUUAACAAGUUAAUUAUGCCAGCUCUAGACAAAAACAAGUUGGCUGUGACAAGAGAACAAGUUAUU
This is a long non-coding RNA of Gadus macrocephalus (Pacific cod), 1722 nucleotides long. RefSeq lists it as uncharacterized. The record is from RefSeq and is a predicted model, not a curated record. NCBI's taxonomy places the organism in Eukaryota, Metazoa, Chordata, Actinopteri, Gadiformes, Gadidae. The transcript has 2 exons.